This 1063-nucleotide ribosomal RNA is filed under the name Geocharax gracilis. Its description in RNAcentral is "l-rRNA". The stretch from base 630 to 1063 matches the Rfam family "Bacterial large subunit ribosomal RNA", at positions 2048 to 2700 of the family's 2925-position model. Lineage: Eukaryota; Metazoa; Arthropoda; Malacostraca; Decapoda; Parastacidae. The record is from RNAcentral.
CGAAAGAGAGAUAGUUAAGUUAAUAAUUUAGUUUUUGUUGUAAAAAGAUUUAUAAUUUUAAUUUAGUGGCGAAAUACCAGUCGAGCUUUUUGAUAUCUGUUUUUUUUAGAAAUAAGUUUAAUUUGGCUUUUAUAUAAUAUUUUAUAUAAGAUGUUGGGGCAGGAGGGGAGAGCUUUUUGUUUAAAUUUUAGUUGCUUACAGGUACGGAAAUUUAAGGUGUGUUUAACUAGAUUUAGAAGUAGUUUUGUUAGUAUUGUGUUAUAACUAAGAUUUGGGUUAUAAUAUUUUUUUGUCUUUAGGUAUUUAUAGGGAAUUAUUUUUAUUUUUAAUAAAAGUAAUUAUAAUUGAUGUAUUAGUAUAUGUAUAAGGUAAAAUUAAAUAUAUUAUAGACGGGGGAGUAAUGUGUGUUUUGUCUAGUAGAGGAAUUCGGCAAAAUUUAUUUCCGCCUGUUUAUCAAAAACAUGUCUGUAUGAGAGGUUUAUAAAGUCUGGCCUGCCCAUUGGGGAACUAAAAGGCCGCGGUAUUUUGACCGUGCGAAGGUAGCAUAAUCAUUAGUCUUUUAAUUGAAGGCUUGUAUGAAGGGUUGGACGAGAAAUUAGCUGUCUUUGGAUGAGAAAUAAAAUUUAACUUUUAAGUGAAAGGGCUUAAAUGUUCUAAAGGGACGAUAAGACCCUAUAAAGUUUGACAUUUUAUUUUUUGGUGAGUGAGUUAGAAUAAUUAAAGUUUAUUAAAGAGUUAGAUGUUUUGUUGGGGCGACAAAAAUAUAAAUAAUUUAACUGUUUUUAUGUAGUUACAAAGAUAAUUGAAUUUGUGGUCCUUAUUAAAGAGUGAAGAGUAAAUUACUUUAGGGAUAACAGCGUAAUUUUUUUUGAGAGUUCGUAUCGACAAAAAAGUUUGCGACCUCGAUGUUGAAUUAAAGAUUCUUUGUAAUGUAGCAGUUAUAAAAGAGGGUCUGUUCGACCUUUAAAUCUUUACAUGAUUUGAGUUCAGACCGGCGUGAGCCAGGUUGGUUUCUAUCUUUUAGGUUUUAUUGAAUUAUUUUAGUACGAAAGGAUUGAAUAAU